Molecule: long non-coding RNA, 417 nt
Filed under: Elaeis guineensis (African oil palm)
Lineage: Eukaryota; Viridiplantae; Streptophyta; Magnoliopsida; Arecales; Arecaceae
Description: long non-coding RNA (EGUI_LNC052817)
Source: RNAcentral
GGCUAGUUGGGCCCUAGGUUGAAAGGCUGUGGGCCUUUCGGGUUCUUGAGGUCUAAGUUAUGUGGGCCUCAAGGGACCAACUCUUUAUGGGUCAGGUCUGUACCCAAGAGAGGUGAGAUUAGGUUAAGUCAUGGGUGUACAUGGGCUUGGGUUAACCUAAUCUCCUAUAGAGUUGGUCAAGAGAGUUUUGGGUUUGGGUCACUUGACCCGGUGUUUAUAUAUACAUAUACUUGUAUAGGUUUAAUUGAGCCAAGAAAAUAGACAACUCUUUCUUCCAAGUCUCUCUCUCUCUCUUCUCCCUCUCUCUCCAGCAAUUCUCCAUGCCCCAGGAGCAAGAAACCCUAGGAUUUCUUGCCGCCAGUCCAUAAAAGGAAAGAGAAGAAGGGGAGGCGCUAGCCCCUUCCCCCUUGCAGCCGC